UCUUUUCCUUGUGUGCCAGCCGCCGCGGUAAUACGGAAGGUCCGGGCGUUAUCCGGAUUUAUUGGGUUUAAAGGGAGCGUAGGCCGGAGAUUAAGCGUGUUGUGAAAUGUAGACGCUCAACGUCUGCACUGCAGCGCGAACUGGUUUCCUUGAGUACGCACAAAGUGGGCGGAAUUCGUGGUGUAGCGGUGAAAUGCUUAGAUAUCACGAAGAACUCCGAUUGCGAAGGCAGCUCACUGGAGCGCAACUGACGCUGAAGCUCGAAAGUGCGGGUAUCGAACAGG
RNAcentral lists this ribosomal RNA (284 nucleotides) under Segatella copri DSM 18205. RNAcentral describes it as "Prevotella copri DSM 18205 partial 16S ribosomal RNA". It matches the Rfam family "Bacterial small subunit ribosomal RNA", at positions 493 to 776 of the family's 1533-position model. The record is from RNAcentral. Lineage: Bacteria; Pseudomonadati; Bacteroidota; Bacteroidia; Bacteroidales; Prevotellaceae.